CAACCGUAAACUAUGCGCGUUAGGUGUAUCGGUGACCACGAGUUACCGAGGUGCCGAAGGGAAACCGUGAAACGUGCCGCCUGGGAAGUACGGUCGCAAGGCUGAAACUUAAAGGAAUUGGCGGGGAGGCACCACAACAGGUGGAGCCUGCGGUUUAAUUGGACUCAACGCCGGGAAGCUCACCGGAUAGGACAGCAGAAUGAUUGCCGGGCUGAAGACCCUGCAUGACUAGCUGAGAGGAGGUGCAUGGCGUAGACGUCU
RNAcentral lists this ribosomal RNA (261 nucleotides) under uncultured archaeon. RNAcentral's name for it is "partial 16S ribosomal RNA". It matches the Rfam family "Archaeal small subunit ribosomal RNA", at positions 748 to 1009 of the family's 1478-position model. The record is from RNAcentral.